UUCAAGAUACUGAAGAUAAUAAAGAGCUAACGUCCAAAAGCAGUAAAAAAAGACCGGCAGUUCAAGAUAAUGAGGCUUCAUCCAGCUGUAAUCAUAAAGAAACCCUACAAGCAGUCCGGGUGUACACAGACUCCUGUUCCAAGAAAUCUGGGAGCCUUAAACAGGUGGCAGGGUUAGGGGGAUGGUAUCACGAAAAGAAGUUUCACAUAUUUAGUGCUGCUUAUUCCAACCCCCACAAACUUCAUAACAACGACCUAGAAAUGUUAGCCAUUUUAAUGGCAUUAAAACUGUAUGGUAGAGGCUGGCAAGGUAUGAAUGUUGAAUCCUACUGUGACAACGAUUCGACAGUGAACUUGCUUAAAGUUUAUUGUGCUGAGGCCUCUCUAAAUAAGACAAAGAAAAAAAGACAGAGGAGAACUGUUUUUCAGAAUUUGAUCAUUAGCAGAAUUAAAGAGGAACUGUAUAGGUCUAAAAUUUGUUUAUCUCCAAUCAAGAUUCCUGCUAAACAAAAUUGUCGAGCCGAUGUCUUAUCGAGACAGGGAAACAAAGCAUUUCUAUCUCAUCUUCCUCGUGAUGCAGAAUAUUUUGUAUAUGACGUUACUCCUGAAUUACAGUAUUUUGAUCGAAGUCUGGAAAGUUGGAUAAAACAACCUAAAUUAAAUAGACAGAUCAUUCCCUUCUGGAAUCCUUGGCCAAUUCAUAACAAUUCCGUAGAAAAUUUAAGUAAAUUUUUCAUCACAGUUUGCAAAAUUCUGCAAAAAAUUCUGCAGUUGAAUUCUUUCAAAGAAUUUCAAAUUUUAAUUCUUAAACAUAAAGCUGUAAUUGUUCUAAAGCUUCAUUAUACACUCAGCAGUUUAUUUUUACUAAACUGCUUUGAUAGUAUUAAUGUUUUAAGAUCCAAAUUAAGAGCCCUAAUGGCUGAUGUUCCACGACCACAGGGUUCAGUUUUAGGACCACUACUUUUAACUGUAUACAUAAAUAACAUAGUUCAUGGAAAUAACAGUAACAUCAGACCUUUUGCUGAUGAUACAUCCAUUUUUUGCUAUCGUAGAUGAUCCAUUUGAAGCAGCUAACUGCCUAAAUGAGGAUCUAGAAAAAAUAUCCAGCUUGGUAAAUACUAUGCAGUUCACGCGCAGAAAUGUUAACCCCAAACCGAUUGCUGUCCAAGAUGUUAAUAAAAGUCAUAAACAAAUAACACUGCAAAACGACUGUUCAUGGGACGCACACAUUCACUUUAUUAGUAAAAGUGUUUGUCCCAUGAUAAAUUGUCUGAAGUUUCAAAUAUCGCUUGUCUAGAAAAACACGAGUCCAUGUACAAAUGCUGUAUACUUCCUACUUUUGAUUACUGCUCUCAUAUUAAGGACAACUGCCCAGUAUUACUUUAGAUGCCCUUAGAACAAUAUGUGGUGCUGUCCAUGAAACAAACUUAUAAAAAUCCAAGCCCAAUUACGACAAAUUUCAAAAGCGUAUAAACAAUGGAUGCACAGAUAUAUGAACAAACAUAGGAAACACGUAACAAAUUCAUUCUAGUAAAACAAAAAACACUCACAAAAAGAGUUUUGGGAAAUGCUUAACUCAAAUACUGAACCAAAACAUUCGGCUAAACCAAAUACUGAAACUUUCUUCAACUAUUACACGGAACAGAAUGAAAACAAUUCAGAGAACGGUAUUCCUGCUGUGUGUCAUGAACAAAAUGUUAACUUAUGAUGAUAUGGAAUUACUUCUGGCAUCACAAAAGAUGAAAUAACUCAAGUAGUCAAAAUUUUAAAAAGGAACAAAACCUGAAUGACCUGGCUUGGACCUGAAUGAAAAUGAUUAUCUGACUGAUGUGAUUGAUAUUUUACUCAUGUUUCAAGUACAUUAUUUCAAUUUGAUACUUGCCUCUGGAAGAAUUGAGGGGAUGUUUCUCAAACUUGUGCAGAAUAUGUAUCAAUUUCAGUUGAAUCUCAGACGUUUUUACAUACAACUCUGGUAUACGGAGGAUCUCAACCACCAGCGGGUGAAGCUGAUGAAAUAAUAUUACUUUGUUUGGCCAAAUGUGGUUAAAUGUAAACAUCAUUUAAGAUAAUUUCUUUAAUUAUGAUGUGUUUCUGUAUAUCUCUCUUACAUCACAAUAUGUCCUCUUUUUUUAGUAAUUAUCCUGGACUUUUUUUGCAUUUGUCCACCUUGUACUUAUUGCUUUUAUGAUUUAAUAGGUGUACGCUGAGUUUUACUGUGUGCCUACAGGGCUCGAUUUAGUGCUUUCUUACUUGCACUGGUGCAACGCAAUAUGACAAAGUGCAACCUUGUUAUGAGUCUAACUUGCACAAGGUGCACGUCAAUUUUGAGAAAAAAACAUAAAUAAAAUCUAACAUUAUAAGCAUAAAUAUGUCAGCUAAUUUUCUUUCUAAACUUUGAAUAGCUAUGGCACUGAAAUAUUGCUAUUACUAUACACGUUGAAUCAUCCUAUGCUGUACAUCAUAAGGCAGACAUUUUGCCAGGAAUCAUCCUAUGUUGUACAUCAUAAGGCAGACAUUUUGCCAGGAAUCAUCCUAUGUUGUACAUCAUAAGGCAGACAUUUUGCCAGGAAUCAUCCUAUGUUGUUCAUCAUAAGGCAGACAUUUUGCCAGGAAUCAUCCUAUGUUGUACAUCAUAAGGCAGACAUUUUGCCAGGAAUCAUCCUAUGCUGUACAUCAUAAGGCAGACAUUUUGCCAGGAAUCAUCCUAUGCUGUACAUCAUAAGGCGGACAUUUUGCCAGGAAUCAUCCUAUGUUGUACAUCAUAAGGCAGACAUUUUGCCAGGAAUCAUCCUAUGUUGUACAUCAUAAGGCAGACAUUUUGCCAGGAAUCAUCCUAUGUUGUACAUCAUAAGGCAGACAUUUUGCCAGGAAUCAUCCUAUGCUGUACAUCAUAAGGCAGACAUUUUGCCAGGAAUCAUCCUAUGUUGUACAUCAUAAGGCAGACAUUUUGCCAGGAAUCAUCCUAUGCUGUAUAUCAUAAGGCAGACAUUUUGCCAGGAAUCAUCCUAUGCUGUACAUCAUAAGGCAGACAUUUUGCCAGGAAUCAUCCUAUGUUGUACAUCAUAAGGCAGACAUUUUGCCAGGAAUCAUCCUAUGUUGUACAUCAUAAGGCAGACAUUUUGCCAGGAAUCAUCCUAUGUUGUACAUCAUAAGGCGGACAUUUUGCCAGGAAUCAUCCUAUGUUGUACAUCAUAAGGCAGACAUUUUGCCAUGAAUCAUCUAUGUUGUACAUCAUAAGGCAGAAUUUUGCCAGAAAUCAUCCUAUGUUGUACAUCAUAAGGCAGACAUUUUGCCAGGAAUCAUCCUAUGUUGUACAUCAUAAGGCGGACAUUUUGCCAGGAAUCAUCCUAUGUUGUACAUCAUAAGGCAGACAUUUUGCCAUGAAUCAUGUAUGUUGUACAUCAUAAGGCAGACCAGACGAUCAAGGUAUCAUCUACAGGUAGAGUCAGGUGUCACAAUGAUUUCCAGAAUAAGAAGUUUGUCAUGUUCGUGACAUCAGGCAUCACCAGAUCAACUUUUAUCAGACUGCAAACUUUCCACAUAGGUGUCGGGUGAUCGAUGGAAUGUACGUUUAGUUUCAAGAAAACAGAAAACAAAAAAUGUCUACCACAUCACUACCAGAGCAUCAAUACAAGGAUUGCUUUCAAUAAUGAAGACAGGUUAAAUGAUGUUGUUGCUCGGUGGUCUGGAUCAACACACGAUUCACGCAUAUUGACCAACAGCGGUGUCUACCAGUUGUUCGACAGGAAUGUUGUCCCCAUCGGAUAUCACCUUCUCAGUGACAGUGGUUACCCCUGUAAGAAGUGGCUACUAACCCCUGACUAUUGGUGGGACCACAAACAAAUCACAACAGAUCACAUGAAAGAACAAGGAGCACAGUUGAAAGGGUCAUUGGCCAACUCAAGCACAGAUUUCCUGUUGAAGACUUCAUGGGGAAAUAAGGUUAAAACCUGAGAAGGCUUGCAAGGUGAUGAUAGCUUGUGCUGACCUUCACAACAUAUACAAGGACAGAAACAUUCCAGUACCACCCACAGAUGGGCAUGAUGGAUAUGGAAGGCGUGAUGGGCAGAAUGGAGGUCUACCAGAAAUCACUCCAUCACUGGCUGCACUGACAUAUAGGGAGCACUUGACCAGUACGAACUUUCCAAAGCUUCCACCAUGUGGCAUUAUGGCUCCAUCUGCAUGGACUGCUGGCUCCACAGGACACAUUCUGGCUCCCUCUGGCUCCCUCUGGUUGUGACAUGGCUGCUUAAAUCUCUCUGCAAAAUGAAAUGAUUAAAAUGUGCUUGUAAUUUUCAUAUAAAUGUUCUUUCAAUUUCAA
This is an RNA transcript of Haliotis rubra (blacklip abalone), 4320 nucleotides long. RefSeq lists it as uncharacterized. Lineage: Eukaryota; Metazoa; Mollusca; Gastropoda; Lepetellida; Haliotidae. The transcript is spliced from 6 exons. The record is from RefSeq and is a predicted model, not a curated record.